Molecule: ribosomal RNA, 292 nt
Filed under: uncultured bacterium
Lineage: Bacteria
Description: partial 16S ribosomal RNA
Source: RNAcentral
GGACUACACGGGUUUCUAAUCCUGUUCGCUCCCCACGCUUUCGCUCCUCAGUGUCAGGUAAGGCCCAGAGAACCGCCUUCGCCACCGGUGUUCCUCCCGAUAUCUGCGCAUUUCACCGCUACACCGGGAAUUCCAUUCUCCCCUACCUACCUCUAGUCCACCCGUAUCCGCAGCAAGUCCAGGGUUAAGCCCUGGAUUUUCACAACAGACGUAGUGGACCACCUACGAGCUCUUUACGCCCAAUAAUUCCGGACAACGCUUGCGCCCUACGUGUUACCGCGGCUGCUGGCAC